UUAACUAUUAUAUAGUACUCAGACGAUAUUAUUAAACAAGAGUUUUGGGUCCUCUGGCGAGCACUCACCAGCGUUAAAAGCCGGUGGCCGAAGCGGCUCGCCAAAGCAACAAAGGUAUAAAUUAACAUAGGGUUGGAGAGUCACCCUUGCGGGCGAGUUUCUCUGUAAUGAUCCCUCCGCAGGUUCACCUACGGAGA
This 197-nucleotide unclassified non-coding RNA is filed under the name uncultured fungus. RNAcentral's name for it is "sequence contains ITS1". Lineage: Eukaryota; Fungi. The record is from RNAcentral.